RNAcentral lists this ribosomal RNA (253 nucleotides) under uncultured bacterium. Its description in RNAcentral is "partial 16S ribosomal RNA". It matches the Rfam family "Bacterial small subunit ribosomal RNA", at positions 524 to 776 of the family's 1533-position model. The record is from RNAcentral.
UACGUAGGGUGCAAGCGUUAAUCGGAAUUACUGGGCGUAAAGCGUGCGCAGGCGGUUUUGUAAGUCAGAUGUGAAAUCCCCGGGCUUAACCUGGGAACUGCGUUUGAAACUACAAGGCUAGAGUGUGGCAGAGGGGGGUGGAAUUCCACGUGUAGCAGUGAAAUGCGUAGAGAUGUGGAGGAACACCGAUAGCGAAGGCAGCCCCCUGGGUUAACACUGACGCUCAGGCACGAAAGCGUGGGGAGCAAACAGG